UGGGGAAUUUUGGACAAUGGGCGAAAGCCUGAUCCAGCAAUGCCGCGUGUGUGAAGAAGGCCUUCGGGUUGUAAAGCACUUUUGUCCGGAAAGAAAUCCUUGGCUCUAAUACAGUCGGGGGAUGACGGUACCGGAAGAAUAAGCACCGGCUAACUACGUGCCAGCAGCCGCGGUAAUACGUAGGGUGCAAGCGUUAAUCGGAAUUACUGGGCGUAAAGCGUGCGCAGGCGGUUUGCUAAGACCGAUGUGAAAUCCCCGGGCUCAACCUGGGAACCGCAUUGGUGACUGGCAGGCUAGAGUAUGGCAGAGGGGGGUAGAAUUCCACGUGUAGCAGUGAAAUGCGUAGAGAUGUGGAGGAAUACCGAUGGCGAAGGCAGCCCCCUGGGCCAAUACUGACGCUCGUGCACGAAAGCGUGGGGAGCAAACAGGAUUAGAUACCCUGGUAGUCCACGCCCUAAACGAUGUCAAC
Molecule: ribosomal RNA, 469 nt
Filed under: uncultured bacterium
Lineage: Bacteria
Description: partial 16S ribosomal RNA
Rfam family: Bacterial small subunit ribosomal RNA
Source: RNAcentral